RNAcentral lists this ribosomal RNA (253 nucleotides) under uncultured bacterium. RNAcentral describes it as "partial 16S ribosomal RNA". It matches the Rfam family "Bacterial small subunit ribosomal RNA", at positions 524 to 776 of the family's 1533-position model. The record is from RNAcentral.
UACGUAGGGUGCAAGCGUUGUCCGGAAUCAUUGGGCGUAAAGGGCUCGUAGGCGGUCCAUCGCGUCGGGAGUGAAAAGCUGGGGCUCAACCCCAGUCUUGCUUCCGAUACGGGUGGACUAGAGGUAGGCAGGGGAGAAUGGAAUUCCUGGUGUAGCGGUGAAAUGCGCAGAUAUCAGGAGGAACACCGGUGGCGAAGGCGGUUCUCUGGGCCUUACCUGACGCUGAGGCGCGAAAGCGUGGGGAGCGAACGGG